Molecule: small nucleolar RNA, 150 nt
Organism: Heteronotia binoei (common prickly gecko)
Lineage: Eukaryota; Metazoa; Chordata; Lepidosauria; Squamata; Gekkonidae
Source: RefSeq, a predicted model, not a curated record
CUUCAGUGAUGAUCCGAUGACGAGUCAUAAAGAGGCACCCUCUCGCUCAAAGCAGCUGCCCCAGGACCACGUUCUGUGGGGCUGGGAUUGGCUGCUCUGGCAAAGGGGCCUUUGGGCAUUGAAUGAGCUUGAGGCAUUUGUCUGAGAAGG